This 244-nucleotide ribosomal RNA is filed under the name uncultured bacterium. RNAcentral describes it as "partial small subunit ribosomal RNA". It matches the Rfam family "Bacterial small subunit ribosomal RNA", at positions 26 to 285 of the family's 1533-position model. The record is from RNAcentral.
AGGACGAACGCUGGCGGCGUGCCUAACACAUGCAAGUCGAACGAGAAAGUGGAGCAAUCCAUGAGUAAAGUGGCGCACGGGUGAGUAACACGUGACUAACCUACCCUUGAGUGGGGAAUAACCUAGGGAAACCUGGGCUAAUACCGCAUAACACCUACGGGUCAAAGGAGCAAUUCGCUUAAGGAGGGGUCGCGGCAGAUUAGCUAGUUGGCGGGGUAAUGGCCCACCAAGGCAGUGAUCUGUA